AAGAAUUGAAUUUUCUCUGAUUGGAAUGGUUGUUGGAAUUUUGAAGACAAAGAUUUGAAAAACAUAACUACGGUAUCUAGGCUACUUGACAAUUGAACCGGUAGAGUACGGUGUUGACGUGUUAGUUGUUUUGACCGACAGUAGAAGGUAUCAAGCAGCAAAGUUGUGGUUUUGGGCAUUCCUCAUUCGUGUUCCUGCCCCUCUCAGUAUUUCUUUUAUACGUUGUUCAAUCUCGUUUAUUGUUACACUUUUUACUCAGUAUUUUUUAUUGCAAACAAAGUACCUCGUGCAUAACAACUAUGACACAGUCAAACAGCAACAACGUUGUGUAUUUACAGACUGCAUUACGAAACUUGGAGGAACGAUACAAGAAACUUCAAAAUCGAGUCGAGUCAUUACAAAUGGAAAAUGAAAGGCUGGUUACAAGCCGAACAGAGCUUGUGGUUGAAGUUGAACGCUUGCAGGACCAGCAAAUCCGUUUACGAGAACGGAAUUUAAGACUCACACAGGAGUUCCAUUCUAAGCAGCAAGAAUGCUCCCUCCUGGCUGAAAAAUUGACUAUAUUUGCUCGUGGCCGAGUUGGCAAUGCAUAUAAGACAGAUUCUGAAAGUUUCAAGUCAGAUCUGACAGAAGUCAAAGAAGAUCUUGAAGGAUCACAUGACAGCCUUGUUACAGUUGAGCUUUAUGGUGGUUCUGAUACAAGACCGAAAACACUUGAUGUCACAAGUCGCACAUAUUCUGAACCUAAUCUGAGUGCUAUUCAAAGAGAAUUGGAUUUGGUACGGAAAGGUCUUUGGUCCCCUGCUUUGGAAAACGCAAAAGGGACAGUUGUCGAAGAGUUGUCAUCAAAAAUAUUGCUCAGUCUAAAGAAAGGGCAGGGUGAGCUUGAAGAGCAGUGCUCAAGGAUGAUGGAAUUCCAACGUAACUCGAUGGAAGCAGUUCAAGGAUUAUCCAUUCUGUCAGAUGAAAAUGAUGAAACAGAUCCAAUGGAGUAUGUUCAACAGUGUACACAAACUGCACUUACUCUCAAAGAAAAAUUACAAAAUGAAAACUUGAAAUUACGUCAUCUGCAUCAAAUAUUAAGAAUGAACGCAGCAAAUGAAGCGGCAGCUGCGAGUGUUGUAACUCAAACAAGUUUCGACAUGCAUGCACCCGAUUUGGGCAGUUCGUCAGUGUGGAAAAACAUGAACCUACAAGACCGCAUUUGUCCUCUUUGUGAAAACAUGUUUUCGACGGUUAUAUCCCAAGACGAAUUUGUUGAUCACGUAAUGUCGCAUUUUGAAGAAACUUAAAAAACGAUUGAAUUCAACGGGUCUUUUGCCAUUUGCAAUAGCCUUAUUCUACUCAGAAUCCAUCUUCUGUCAUUAUAUACUUCGAACAGAACAAUUAUUUUUCACUAUCGUGGUUGACCCUUCGGUGCUUUUGUUUGUCGCUUCCAUAGGUUACGUGCGAAAGGAGUGUAGACCAUCAAGAAAAAAAAUACCGUUGAAAACGGGUCUUUUGCCAUUUGCAAUAGCCUUAUUCUACUCAGAAUCCAUCCUCUGUCAUUAUAUACUUCGAACAGAACAAUUAUUUUUCACUAUCGUGGUUGACCCUACGGGUAUUUUAUAGGAUUUGUUUUAAUGAGCAUAAUUCGGCCAAAACAUUUUUGGCUGGAUACAUUAUUAUCAUAUUAAACCAUUCGACGCGUAA
This 1692-nucleotide unclassified non-coding RNA is filed under the name Daphnia magna. RNAcentral describes it as "uncharacterized LOC116922962, transcript variant X3". The record is from RNAcentral. Lineage: Eukaryota; Metazoa; Arthropoda; Branchiopoda; Diplostraca; Daphniidae.